Molecule: ribosomal RNA, 497 nt
Filed under: uncultured bacterium
Lineage: Bacteria
Description: partial 16S ribosomal RNA
Rfam family: Bacterial small subunit ribosomal RNA
Source: RNAcentral
GACGAACGCUGGCGGCGUGCCUAAUACAUGCAAGUUGAGCGAUGAAGAUUGGUGCUUGCCCCAAUUUGAAGAGCAGCGAACGGGUGAGUAACGCGUGGGGAAUCUGCCUUUGAGCGGGGGACAACAUUUGGAAACGAAUGCUAAUACCGCAUAACAACUUUAAACAUAAGUUUUAAGUUUGAAAGAUGCAAUUGCAUCACUCAAAGAUGAUCCCGCGUUGUAUUAGCUAGUUGGUGAGGUAAAGGCUCACCAAGGCGAUGAUACAUAGCCGACCUGAGAGGGUGAUCGGCCACAUUGGGACUGAGACACGGCCCAAACUCCUAAGGGAGGCAGCAGUAGGGAAGCUUCGGCAAUGGACGAAAGUCUGACCGAGCAACGCCGCGUGAGUGAAGAAGGUUUUCGGAUCGUAAAACUCUGUUGGUAGAGAAGAACGUUGGUGAGAGUGGAAAGCUCAUCAAGUGACGGUAACUACCCAGAAAGGGACGGCUAACUACGUG